UUAUCCUCAGAGACCAAUGCAAUUGAAUCUAUUUUCUAUUUUUGUAGGAGGGGCUCUGGGUCUUCUCCAGCGAUCCCAACAGGUAGACUCUUUAGCUAACCUGAGCGAGCCGGUGUGCUGACAGUGACUGGAGGAGAGAUCUUGCUGGUUAAACAGCCAUGGUGAAAGCAGAAGUGGAUUCUCACAUCUGUUUAUGGCAUCUGGAGUGAAUUGGACUCGGAGCAGGCUGAGCUGGCUUCUGAGGAAACUGGCCUCCAAGCAGAAAACCAGAAAUAGAGGUGCAGGCAUUGCAUCUAUCUCAUCAUCCCUCCAGCAUCUGUCCCUCCAGGGACAUGUAGCUCUGCAGUCCCUUGACCUCCUCCUUUUUCCCUGGAGUGGGCCCGGAUGGCAAGAAAGCUGUGUGGCACUUCCAAGCCAUUCCCCAUGGGAAUGGAAAGCUGCCAUUCAAUCACCGUCUGGAGGGACACAUCUUACCCAACCAGCUGAACGUGCACUUGGAAUAGGGUAAUGGAGAUGGGUAAUUGACUUUCUGUUGUUUUUCUAAGUGGUGCUGGUGGCAUUCAAAGUGACCCUGCAAGCAGGGUGAGGUGGGAUGAAUGGAGUGGAGAUGGACAGGAACUGGAAAUAUUUGUGGUUUAUGAGAUAAAACAAAGUG
Molecule: long non-coding RNA, 655 nt
Filed under: Numida meleagris (helmeted guineafowl)
Lineage: Eukaryota; Metazoa; Chordata; Aves; Galliformes; Numididae
Description: lncRNA (ENSNMEG00000013508.1)
Source: RNAcentral